GUGCUCGCUUUGGCAGCACACAUACUAAAAUUGGAACACUUCAGAGAAGAAUAGCAUGGCCCCUGUGCAAGGAUGACAUGCAAAUUCCUGAAGAGUUCCAUACUUUU
Mastomys coucha (southern multimammate mouse) is the source of this 107-nucleotide small nuclear RNA. Lineage: Eukaryota; Metazoa; Chordata; Mammalia; Rodentia; Muridae. The record is from RefSeq and is a predicted model, not a curated record.